GUAGGUGGCAAGCGCUGUCCGGAAUUAUUGGGCGUAAAGCGCGCGCAGGCGGUCCUUUAAGUCUGAUGUGAAAGCCCACGGCUCAACCGUGGAGGGUCAUUGGAAACUGGGGGACUUGAGUACAGAAGAGGAAAGCGGAAUUCCAAGUGUAGCGGUGAAAUGCGUAGAGAUCUGGAGGAACACCAGUGGCGAAGGCGGCUUUCUGGUCUGUAACUGACGCUGAGGCGCGAAAGCGUGGGGAGCAAACAGGGAUUAGAUACCCUGGUAGUCCACGCCGUAAACGAUGAGUGCUAAGUGUUAGGGGGUUUCCGCCCCCUUAGUGCUGCAGCUAACGCAUUAAGCACUCCGCCUGGGGAGUACGGCCGCAAGGCUG
Molecule: ribosomal RNA, 373 nt
Filed under: uncultured organism
Description: partial 16S ribosomal RNA
Rfam family: Bacterial small subunit ribosomal RNA
Source: RNAcentral